RNAcentral lists this ribosomal RNA (591 nucleotides) under uncultured eukaryote. RNAcentral describes it as "eukaryotic LSU rRNA". The stretch from base 230 to 383 matches the Rfam family "5.8S ribosomal RNA". The record is from RNAcentral.
UAAAAGUCGUAACAAGGUUUCCGUAGGUGAACCUGCGGAAGGAUCAUUAAAGAGUAAGGGUGCUCAGCGCCCGACCUCCAACCCUUUGUUGUUAAAACUACCUUGUUGCUUUGGCGGGACCGCUCGGUCUCGAGCCGCUGGGGAUUCGUCCCAGGCGAGCGCCCGCCAGAGUUAAACCAAACUCUUGUUAUUUAACCGGUCGUCUGAGUUAAAAUUUUGAAUAAAUCAAAACUUUCAACAACGGAUCUCUUGGUUCUCGCAUCGAUGAAGAACGCAGCGAAAUGCGAUAAGUAAUGUGAAUUGCAGAAUUCAGUGAAUCAUCGAAUCUUUGAACGCACAUUGCGCCCCUUGGUAUUCCGAGGGGCAUGCCUGUUCGAGCGUCAUUACACCACUCAAGCUAUGCUUGGUAUUGGGUGCCGUCCUUAGUUGGGCGCGCCUUAAAGACCUCGGCGAGGCCUCACCGGCUUUAGGCGUAGUAGAAUUUAUUCGAACGUCUGUCAAAGGAGAGGACUUCUGCCGACUGAAACCUUUAUUUUUCUAGGUUGACCUCGGAUCAGGUAGGGAUACCCGCUGAACUUAAGCAUAUCAAUA